AGUGAACGCUGGCGGUAGGCCUAACACAUGCAAGUCGAACGGCAGCACAGUAAGAGCUUGCUCUUACGGGUGGCGAGUGGCGGACGGGCGAGGAAUACAUCGGAAUCUACUUUUUCGUGGGGGAUAACGUAGGGAAACUUACGCUAAUACCGCAUACGACCUACGGGUGAAAGCAGGUGAUCUUCGGACCUUGCGCGAUUGAAUGAGCCGAUGUCGGAUUAGCUAGUUGGCGGGGUAAAGGCCCACCAAGGCGACGAUCCGUAGCUGGUCUGAGAGGAUGAUCAGCCACACUGGAACUGAGACACGGUCCAGACUCCUACGGGAGGCAGCAGUGGGGAAUAUUGGACAAUGGGCGCAAGCCUGAUCCAGCCAUACCGCGUGGGUGAAGAAGGCCUUCGGGUUGUAAAGCCCUUUUGUUGGGAAAGAAAAGCAGCAGGUUAAUACCCCGCUGUUCUGACGGUACCCAAAGAAUAAGCACCGGCUAACUUCGUG
Molecule: ribosomal RNA, 492 nt
Filed under: uncultured bacterium
Lineage: Bacteria
Description: partial 16S ribosomal RNA
Rfam family: Bacterial small subunit ribosomal RNA
Source: RNAcentral